AAACAUCUUGACAUGCAGUAAUUAAUUAUAUGAAGGACAGUGUGACAGCCUGGAUGUGUUUCACUCUUUCCACCAUUCAGGAGGAGAUGCACCGAUCCAAAUAUGCUGAAGAAGCAGCUGGUUAUCAGAAGUAUUGGUUGGUGGUGCCUGCGGAAGUGUCUACAAUUGUAUAAACAUCUGUUGUGAACUGCUGCUUGAAAAAAGUAUGGAAGAAGUGAUGUAAUUCAAAGUUGAGACGGAUCAAAGAAAGCUAUGCAAGGAUUGAACAAACAUCUGAAAAUGUUUGGGUUCUCAAACCAAAUGUCACAUUUGCAGUUUGCAUGGGUGAAUGGAAUUUAUUGAGGUAGAUUUUCUACAGUUGGAUGUCCUCCCUGUUACCAAUCUUCAUCUGUUUCCAAGCAAGUAUUUAAUCAACUAAAGGCAGGAUAUUUCAACCAAACAAAUAUGGUAACAGGAGGGUUGAAUUGUGAAUCACAAGAAACUAGAACUGAAUUAUUUCCAUCAAAAUAGUAAUGUUCUCUGCUUUAACAAGUAUACUACGUUGAGGAUAAAUAUAGGUUAUUUAAGUACACUGAUUUAAAAAGUGUUUUUAGUUGCUCAUUAGAAACCAAUCACAAAUUGCCAUUUCAUAGAUUUAUACACUGCUUCAAAGUUUGCUUGAUGCAAUAGUUUCUUAGGUCUGAUCUCAUUGAAAACAACUGCUCCAGUCAGUUUAACCCUUUAGUGUUCAGAUUACUCUGUUAAAUGUAAUACUUUUUCACUCAAAUUGUUUUGAAUUAAUCAUGCAUUAUCUUAUAAUGCGUUGAGGUUUCAAUAAUGUGAUUGUUUAUUUUUAGAAUGUCAAUGUAGGUUAGGUGUGAGAGGUAGAUAUCGCCAGUUUGAAUAUAAAACAUGUAGAAUAUAUUGGGGCGGAUAUGGCCGAAUUAAACACUAAAGGGUUAAUGUUGGCUCUGCAUAUUCAGCUCCAUUAUUCAGUGGAUAGGAACUGUCAUUUGAAUCAACUGCCUUACAUUUAAUCUAUUGACCUCAAAGAGUAAAGUUGAUCAAAAGAUUUUAAGCCAGAUGCUAAGAAAUAAAACUGAAUAUUCUUAGCUAUUAUUCUAGCCCCAAGCCAGCCCUGAGUGAGCAGACUAUGAUCAAAGGCAUUUCAACUGUGACCAUAUUGUCUUUUAUGUAGAUCUUAUUAAACUUUUCAAAGGAUCCUUUUCACAAAAGUAUGGCAUAAAUGAAAGAGAAUUGACUACUGUUUCUAGCAGGCUGAGGGACUGUAUAGAGAGAGUUCUCCUAUUAGUUCAAAAUUUUGAUUCAGCCUGAUAGCUACCUUAAAGGUAUACAUAUCUGUUGACAGUUCGACCUUACAUAUUACACAUUGAUCUGAAGAGCAGAUUGUUCAGUUGGUUGAACAACUGAAAAUUCAUUGUCAAAACUAACAGAUCCAUUAAAUAUGAAAAUAUUAAUAUUUGAAAGACAACCCUCACAAACAGAUACUGAGAGAUAUACAUCAGAACUUGAAAAUAAACUCUUUGUAGUAAUUCUAAGUCAUAUCAUUGCCAUCAAACAACAACACUUAGAUUAAUAAAGUAUCUUCUCACAGAAAUUUUUCAUCUUUUACUCGUUUUAGUUGACUGCUGUCAUGCUUCAGUCAUGCCUUGAAGAAUUUUAGUCAAACAAAUUGACUUCAGCGCUUAUAUUUUUCUAAGCCUAGUACUUAUCCUCUCGGUCUGUUUUGCUGAACUGCUAAGCUAUGGGGAUGUAAACACACCAGCACCAGUUGGUAGUGGGGAAUAAACAGACAAACACACACAAGACAGGCUUCUUUCAGUUUCUGUAACUCAAAUCCAUUCGCAAGGCUUUGAUCAGCCCAAGGCUAUGGUAGAAGACACUUGCCCAAGGUGCCAGAACCAUGUGGUUGGCAAGCAAACUUCUUACCACACAGCCAUGGCAGCACCUAUAAUACUCUAAAACUUGUUUCAAUUUUAAAGCUGCAGUCAUGCUGGAGCACCACCAUUAAACGCUGGUGUUUCUUUCAUUUAUUAAUUAGCAUUACAAUUAGGGUGGAAUGAAUCUAUAAAUUACAAUUGCUUGUUUAUGAAUUGUCAGACCAAGCACUUCUUACAGUUUGAUCACUGAGCUUCGUGAUACUUAGUCAAUUGUAAAGUAGCACUGGUUUCCAAUUUUAUCAGGAAAGGUGAAACAAAUAAUACUUCACCCCAAAAUAUAGAAAU
Molecule: long non-coding RNA, 2225 nt
Organism: Octopus bimaculoides (California two-spot octopus)
Lineage: Eukaryota; Metazoa; Mollusca; Cephalopoda; Octopoda; Octopodidae
Source: RefSeq, a predicted model, not a curated record